GUCUUACCUGCCCACUGAGUAAUUUAAGGGCCGCGGUAUUUUGACCGUGCAAAGGUAGCAUAAUCAUUAGUCUUUUAAUUAAGGACUGGGAUGAAAGGUAGAACGAGGUACAAACUGUCUCCAUGAGAGAAGAGAAUUUAACUUUUUAGUUAAAAGGCUAAAAUAGGGUUAGAGGACGAGAAGACCCUAUAGAACUUUAUAAAAUAAAGUCAGAUUUUUAGAAAAUAGUUUUGUUUGUACUUAAACUUUAUUACGUUGGGGUGAUGGGGUAAUAAAUCAACUUAUCUUAAAUAUAACACAAUAAGUGACUAAAGGAUCCAUGAAUAAUGAAUAAAAAAUUAAGUUACCUUAGGGAUAACAGCGUAAUCCUUUUUGAGAGUCCAUAUCGAUAAGAGGGGUUGCGACCUCGAUGUUGGAUUAAAGGUAAUCUCGGGUGUAGCCGUUCGAGGUUGGGGUCUGUUCGAC
RNAcentral lists this ribosomal RNA (465 nucleotides) under Drunella coloradensis. RNAcentral's name for it is "partial 16S ribosomal RNA". It matches the Rfam family "Bacterial large subunit ribosomal RNA", at positions 1852 to 2585 of the family's 2925-position model. Lineage: Eukaryota; Metazoa; Arthropoda; Insecta; Ephemeroptera; Ephemerellidae. The record is from RNAcentral.